UGGGGGAUAUUGCACAAUGGGCGCAAGCCUGAUGCAGCGACGCCGCGUGGGGGAUGAAGGCCUUCGGGUUGCAAACUUCUUUUGCUCUGAACAAGGCGCACUUUGGGGUGUGUUGAGUGUAGGGGUUGAUUAGCGCCGGCUAACUACGUGCCAGCAGCCGCGGUAAUACGUAGGGCGCGAGCGUUGUCCGGAAUUAUUGGGCGUAAAGGGCUUGUAGGUGGCUGGUUGCGUCUGUCGUGAAAGCUCAUGGCUUAACUGUGGGUUUGCGGUGGGUACGGGCUGGCUUGAGUGCAGUAGGGGAGGCUGGAAUUCCUGGUGUAGCGGUGGAAUGCGCAGAUAUCAGGAGGAAUACCGGUGGCGAAGGCGGGUCUCUGGGCUGUUACUGACACUGAGGAGCGAAAGCAUGGGGAGCGAACAGG
RNAcentral lists this ribosomal RNA (419 nucleotides) under bacterium. Its description in RNAcentral is "partial 16S ribosomal RNA". It matches the Rfam family "Bacterial small subunit ribosomal RNA", at positions 355 to 776 of the family's 1533-position model. The record is from RNAcentral.